AUUGAACACUGGCGGCAGGCUUAACACAUGCAAGUCGAGCGGUAGCACAGGGGGGCUUGCUCCCUGGGUGACGAGCGGCGGACGGGUGAGUAAUGUCUGGGAAACUGCCUGAUGGAGGGGGAUAACUACUGGAAACGGUAGCUAAUACCGCAUAACGUCGCAAGACCAAAGAGGGGGACCUUCGGGCCUCUUGCCAUCAGAUGUGCCCAGAUGGGAUUAGCUAGUAGGUGGGGUAAUGGCUCACCUAGGCGACGAUCCCUAGCUGGUCUGAGAGGAUGACCAGCCACACUGGAACUGAGACACGGUCCAGACUCCUACGGGAGGCAGCAGUGGGGAAUAUUGCACAAUGGGCGCAAGCCUGAUGCAGCCAUGCCGCGUGUGUGAAGAAGGCCUUCGGGUUGUAAAGCACUUUCAGCGAGGAGGAAGGUGGUGAGCUUAAUACGUUCAUCAAUUGACGUUACUCGCAGAAGAAGCACCGGCUAACUCCGUG
Molecule: ribosomal RNA, 490 nt
Filed under: uncultured bacterium
Lineage: Bacteria
Description: partial 16S ribosomal RNA
Rfam family: Bacterial small subunit ribosomal RNA
Source: RNAcentral